GUGGGGAAUAUUGCACAAUGGGCGCAAGCCUGAUGCAGCAACGCCGCGUGAGGGACGACGGCCUUCGGGUUGUAAACCUCUUUUAGCAGGGAAGAAGCGAAAGUGACGGUACCUGCAGAAAAAGCACCGGCUAACUACGUGCCAGCAGCCGCGGUAAUACGUAGGGUGCAAGCGUUGUCCGGAAUUAUUGGGCGUAAAGAGCUCGUAGGCGGUUUGUCGCGUCUGCUGUGAAAACCCGAGGCUCAACCUCGGGCCUGCAGUGGGUACGGGCAGACUAGAGUGCGGUAGGGGAGAUUGGAAUUCCUGGUGUAGCGGUGGAAUGCGCAGAUAUCAGGAGGAACACCGAUGGCGAAGGCAGAUCUCUGGGCCGUAACUGACGCUGAGGAGCGAAAGCGUGGGGAGCAAACAGGAUUAGAAACCCUUGUAGUCC
Molecule: ribosomal RNA, 430 nt
Filed under: uncultured bacterium
Lineage: Bacteria
Description: partial 16S ribosomal RNA
Rfam family: Bacterial small subunit ribosomal RNA
Source: RNAcentral